GAUGAAGAACGUAGCGAAAUGCGAUACUUGGUGUGAAUUGCAGAAUCCCGUGAACCAUCGAGUCUUUGAACGCAAGUUGCGCCCGAAGCCAUUAGGCCGAGGGCACGCCUGCCUGGGCGUCACACGUCGUUGCCCCCCCAUCUACUCCUUCGGGAUUGCGGGGGGCGGAUGAUGGCCUCCCGUGCGCCUCGCCGCGCGGUCGGCAUAAAUGCCAAGUCCUCGGCGACGCACGCCACGACAAUCGGUGGUUGCGAAACCUCGGUUGCCCGUCGUGUGCGGUCGUCGCGCAUCGAGGGCUCGAAAAAAUUGCCGGGUUCCGGCUCGGCUUUCAACGCGACCCCAGGUCAGGCGGGGUUACCCGCUGAAUUUAAGCAUAUCAAUAAGCGGAGGA
RNAcentral lists this unclassified non-coding RNA (391 nucleotides) under soil metagenome. RNAcentral's name for it is "partial contains 5.8S ribosomal RNA, internal transcribed spacer 2, and large subunit ribosomal RNA". The stretch from base 1 to 122 matches the Rfam family "5.8S ribosomal RNA", at positions 35 to 154 of the family's 154-position model. The record is from RNAcentral.